Molecule: long non-coding RNA, 432 nt
Organism: Engraulis encrasicolus (European anchovy)
Lineage: Eukaryota; Metazoa; Chordata; Actinopteri; Clupeiformes; Engraulidae
Exons: 4
Source: RefSeq, a predicted model, not a curated record
GUCCUGGUGAAUGGUGAUGGGCCAAUCUUACAAGAGACCACAGAAAACUGAUAUAGUAAACAACAGUGCCUGCUGCAGUAUAACGAGGACACCCUGAGCAGAGAGCUCCAAUAGACCCAGGUCCAGUGUCUUGGCAGGGUGAAAUGGCACUGAUAUGGUGUCCUGCAGGAUGCUGUGUCCUGCAAUCCUGUGUGCUGUGCUACAGACGCUUGUGGAGGUCAACCCAAAAUGGGCACAGUCUCACCACAGAAGAGUGAAAGAGGCUCCCAGAAGUGAGACUGAGUGCCUGUUGCAGUAUGACGAGGACGCAGUGACCAGAGACCUUCAGUAGACCCUGCUGGCAUGAUUGGCGUCUGAAGAACAUGAAAUCAACAGCAAUGUUUAUAAUGUUGUACAUACCUGUAUAGUCUGUAUUAAAAGGCAGUACCUGUA